GUAAUUAUGACCACUAGUUGAUCUCACCACCUGUGAAAAAUACUGCUCUAAAACUAAUUAUUAUAGUUAUAAAAAUUACCUAUAUACAUUCCAACUUGCAGGUAUCAAAGCAAUUGACUCCGUAAACACACUGCAGAUAUAAAGUAUCAUGGUUAAGUGUAAUCACUUAGCAUUUAUAAUAUGCCCUCAAGUCUUUCUCUUUAAAAAUUUUUAGCUGUAGAUGAAUACAAUACUUUGUUUGUUUGUUUUUAUGCAGUGCUGAAGAUCAAACCCAGGGCCUCACAUGCUAGACAAGUGCUCUACCACUCAGCUACACCCCCGACCCGUGCCCUCAAUUCUUGCACAAAUAGAAUGGCUUCCAUAAGAAUACAAGGAAAACAAAGGCACAAGUGACAGACACACAUAAUAAACCUGUAUAUGUACAGAAAAAGUCACAUCAUUUCUAUACAGCAGUACAAAGGACAAAGAAAUAAAGAUAAUCAGGUGCAGAAUGAGUUGAGUUACCAAAUCCAGACUGGUUUUAAUGUCAUUGAAAGCAUUCCAAAGUCCUGGCAUCUUCGCUAUAUAUUUUUGGCUUAUGAGAUUAGUCCUAGUACAUCAAAUUACUAUUCCCUCAGUGGUCCUGGUCGGAAGCUUUCUGGCUGAUCUUUUGGCACAUUAACAUUGCUGAAUGAGUAUUAAUGUCCCCAAAACUAGAUUUUGUUGCAUGUGGAUGAGUCAUGUGAACAGCUCCUUGGGAAGAAAUGGGACUUGUGGGGAGGGAGAAAAAAGCAUACUGCUAAAAUAAGCACAUGUUUAUUUCAUGAGUAAUGAAAACUGGUCAGAGCAAUAUAUUGUAAUGUUCCUUUAACAUUUCUCAACUUUCUGAUCAGCAACAUUGAAAGCCUAAUAUUUAAAAAUUGUCUUUAUGCCUAUACCUGUGCACUGAAUCUCUUCCAAAUUGAGCAGUCAAAUCUGUUUAAUCUAAAUCACUUUGCAAACUUCAUUACUUUACUUGGCUUUUUAAAAAUCCUAUCAAAUUUAAUAAGGACAUAUCCUGCAGCUGGUUAUCACUUAAAUCUUAUUAUUUGGUCAUUUAGAU
This 1081-nucleotide long non-coding RNA is filed under the name Marmota monax (woodchuck). Lineage: Eukaryota; Metazoa; Chordata; Mammalia; Rodentia; Sciuridae. The record is from RNAcentral.